Molecule: non-coding RNA, 158 nt
Filed under: Homo sapiens (human)
Lineage: Eukaryota; Metazoa; Chordata; Mammalia; Primates; Hominidae
Source: Rfam by way of RNAcentral
GCCGGGUAUGGUGGUGCAUACCUGUAAUCCCGGCUACUUGGCAGGCUGAGGCAGGAGAAUCGCUUGCACUCAGGAGGCGGAAGUUGCAGUGAGCCAAGAUCACGCCACCCCACUCCACUGCACUCCAGCCUGGGUGACAGAGCGAGAUUCUGUCUCAA